AUAGGAUGUGGGAGCAGAGGCUGAAGAAGAGUUGGAGGCUGAUUCAGCCUGGUGGGGAGCGAGCUGAGGAGGAGCAGUCUGGGAAGAAGAACUCUUGAUGGCCUGCUUCCCAUCCUCCAUCCUGGAAGACUGAUCUGAAACCCCAGGAGGAGGUCCUCUGAGCCCUGAGGCAGAGAUCUCUCACCUGGAAGAUGGGUCUAAUGACUGCGCCCCACACACACCAGAGAGGACUGCAGAUAGUGCGGGAUGAGAGGAAGAUCUCUGGCCCUGGAGACAGCAUCAUCAAGCGGUAGCUUCAUCUUUGGGAGCUGGGGCCUCUGCAGGAGCUUUACCCUCCUCUCUCCAUGCUGAGCCUGUCUCAACCCCCUAACCUGCACCCCAGUCUUUUGGGGUCACCUCAAGGCUUUGGCUGAUGCUUCUUUGCUGACGUCAACCAAGGUGAUGGACCCAUUUGUCCUUGUAAAGUAACUCUUGAACAUACAGGCACUUCUCCCUCCCUCCUCUUGCUUUGAAGGGUGGGUGGGCACCUGCCACCAUGGUCAGGGUGAGGGCCAGCCCCAUACCCCCAAUGUCAGAAGGCAGCUGCCCCUGGCCUGUGGGUUUAUCUCAGAGGGGCCAGGUUUUCCUCACUGUGUGUCCCCAGCACCUAGCCUGGGGCCCAGCCCAGGGUCACACUCAGUAAAUACUGGCUGAGAAUUAAGGGGGAACUUUCUCGUUCCCCUCCAACACUUUUCUUUUCUUUUUUUUGAGACAGAGUCUCACUCUGUCGCCCAGGCUGGAGUGCAGUGGCGCGAUCUCGGCUCACUGCAACCUCCACCUCCCAGAUUCAAGUGAUUCUCCUGCUUCAGCCUCCCGAGUAGUUGGGAUUACAGGUGCCCGUCACCACAUCCGGCUAAUUUUUGUAUUUUUAGUAGAGACGGGGUUUUGCAUGUUGACCAGGCUGGUCUCGAACUUUUAACCUCAAGUGAUCCACCCGCCUUGGCCUCCCAAAGUGCUGGAAUUACAGGCAUGAGCCACCGCACCUGGCACCAAUGCUUUUCUGCAAGUGCUAGUGUGUGCCAUAGAGACAUCUGUGCAUGCCCAGGGGCGGCUGAGGGGCCAUAAGCCUCCUUUGACUCCAUUAUCUUGCCUGUGCAGGCCAGACGAUUGCCUGAACCCACAAUAGCUUCACCAGAAGAGGGGCUUACUCAUCACUUCCACACAACCUGUGCCCCUCCCCCACUGGGACCAGCUGGGGUUGAGGGGGUGAGGGUCAGGCUGGGGAAGGCUCCUGGAGAUUGCAUUUGCAACCUACCCCUCCCCUGCCAACCUCUAUUACCACACUGAGAGGAACAGGGAGACAUCACUAAAUUGAGGACCUAGGUAGAGAGAGAAGAAGAGAGUGUCCUGUCAGCCUUCAAAGGUUAUUCAGAGCUCUUGGUGCAGGAAGGCCCUGCUAGAAAACUCCAAGAGUCCAGGAGGGCCUUGGGCAUAAAAGCUCAGAGUUGUCCUCAAGAAGCAACUGCAUGGCAGUUAUAUCAGAUGCACAUUCAACAAUAAUAAUAGCAAAACCUUACACAGACCUACAAGCCCUUAUCCACACUUCAGAGAUCCCAGUGUUUCUGAACAAAAUAAUGUAACACCAAAACUCAUUGGGUAGCCAAAACCUAACCUGAACAGAUGUAUGAAUACUCGUAUAUUGUUUUCUGCAGAAAUAUUAAUGUGUUUCGUUAUGGGAUGCUAAGCCAGAUCCCACUACCCACUAGUGUGUUAUAUAAGUCAUGUGCUUUCCAAAAUCCCAAAACUCCCUAAAUUCCAAAAUGCAUCAGGAUCCUGAGACACUGGAGUUUCAGUUAAGGAGUUGUGACCUGUGUAGCUUCCUCCAUGACAGGCACUGUUCUAACUGCUCUCCAUAAUAUUAAUUCAUUCAAUCCUUACAAUGACCUGACAGAGUAGAACUUACUAUUAUUCUUCCAAUUUUAUAGAUAAGGAAACUGAGGCAGAGAGAGGUAAAGUGACUUGCCCAAACACAUACAGCUAAUGAAUGCUGCAACUGAAGCUUCCAGAGCCUAGUUCCAGAGCCCACUCUCCGAACAAGUCUACCAUCUAUUUCCCUUAAAAGGGCUGGUGAGGCCGGGCGCAGUGGCUCACACCUGUAAUCCCAGCACUUUGGGAGGCUGAGGUGGGUGGAUCACCUGAGGUCAGAAGUUUGAGACCACCCUGCCAACAUGGUGAAACCCCAUCUCUAUUAAAAAUACAAAAAUUAGGUGGGCGUGGUGGCGGGCACCUGUAAUCUCAGCUACUCGGGAGGCUGAGGCAGGAGAACUGCUGGAACCCAGGAGGCAGAGGUUGCAGUGAGCCGAAUCCGUGUCAUUGCACUCCAGCCCAGGCCAACAACAGCAAGAAUUCGUAUUAAAAAAAAGGCUGGUGAGAGGGGCGUGGAGGUUGAGGGGUGUGGUAAACUGUAGGAGAUAACGAUUUUAUGUUGUGUGUGUGCUAUGGUUUGGAUGUGGUUUGUCUCCUCCAAAAUGCAUGUAGAAACUUGGUCCCCAAUGUAAUGGUAUUGGGAGGUGGGGCCUUUAAGAGGGGAUUAGGUCAUUAGGAGGGAUUAAUGCCUUUCUCACAGGAGUGGGUUAAUUCUCACAGAAGUGGGUGAGUUAUUGAGAGCAGUUCAUUACAAAAGUGAGUUUGGCUUCCUCGGCUUUCUCUUGCUUCCUCGGCUUUCUCUUGCUUCCUCUCACCCUACGAUGCAUUCUGCUGUGUUACAACACAGCACGAGGCCCUCACCAGAAGCUGACCAGAUCCAGCCACCCUGUCUUGGACUUCCCAGCCUCCAGAACUGUAAAAAACAAACCCCUUUUCUUUGUCAAUUACCCAGUCCCAUGGGUUCUAUGACAGCAACAGAAAGUGGACAAAUUGUGUAACAUGCACAUGUCCAGGAGGGUGUGUGAGAGGUAAUCCUGUUGUUACGGUUGUUCUGUAGGGUGACCACAAUUGGGAAUUUCCCUGGGACUGUUUUGGUUUUAGCACUGAAAACUCUGUAUUUCAAUAAACUACUCAGACCUGGUAAACCAGGAUGGUUGGUCACCCUAGUUCUUGGCCUCUUUUCCUAUGAGCAACAUGAGGCUCAUGACCCACUGAGGAAGAUUCUAGGAUCUGAAGAUGCACUUUGUCUACAUAACACAGCUUCUCAACCCAAACCAGGAUCUCCAGCAGGCACUUACUCAAGACAUGGGGAAGAAGCCCCGGAGAAAAUGCUGGCUGUAUCAGAUUCAGUGAGGGACGAUGCCUCUGUCUCCACCUGGCAUCUUCCUAAGAGGUUUUCAAGGACCAAUGUGACUCUAUCAGGCUUUCACCUUGAGUGUUGAUGCUGGCCUCCAUUGUAAAUACAGUGGGAAUACACUUGAUAUUCUAAUUUAGAAAUGCCUGACUCUCAUCCCCAGCUUUGAAUUUUAACUCCUCAAAGUCCAAAGUGACUUCUUAGGAAUGACCCACACCAUGAGCUCAUAUCUAUCUUCCUGAGGCCUGCCCAGACCUGUCGAAGUAGAGAGAAGAAGACAAGGCCCCUGCUCUUGAGAAGCAGGUAUGGGCUAUGGAGGCAGGACAGAACUAUGCCCCAGGUUCAGAGAGUGGGGAAGAGAGUCCUGUGUGCCGAGGGCUCCCAUGGACUCCUGGAGCAGGAUAAGGAAGGAAUGGGGGAAGGAUGGGGAUACCAUACAAUCCUCCUGAGGGCUGAGGAUUCCCCCAGUCAAGAACUGAGGCUGGAGACUGCUGUUUAAACAUGGCAGGUUGAACACACUUAUUUCUCUCCAUUGUUCUCUGAAAUUCCAAGAAAAUGACACAGGGAUUUUUUUUUUAAAUGCACAUCUAUCUACUGGG
This 3858-nucleotide long non-coding RNA is filed under the name Homo sapiens (human). Its description in RNAcentral is "HSALNT0401222". The record is from RNAcentral. Lineage: Eukaryota; Metazoa; Chordata; Mammalia; Primates; Hominidae.